This 253-nucleotide ribosomal RNA is filed under the name uncultured bacterium. RNAcentral describes it as "partial 16S ribosomal RNA". It matches the Rfam family "Bacterial small subunit ribosomal RNA", at positions 524 to 776 of the family's 1533-position model. The record is from RNAcentral.
UACGGGGGGGGCAAGCGUUGUUCGGAAUUACUGGGCGUAAAGGGCUCGUAGGCGGCCAACUAAGUCAUACGUGAAAUCCCUCGGCUUAACCGGGGAACUGCGUCUGAUACUGGAUGGCUUGAGAUUGGGAGAGGGAUGCGGAAUUCCAGGUGUAGCGGUGAAAUGCGUAGAUAUCUGGAGGAACACCGGUGGCGAAGGCGGCAUCCUGGACCAACACUGACGCUGAGGCACGAAGGCCAGGGGAGCAAACGGG